Molecule: long non-coding RNA, 6566 nt
Filed under: Pelobates cultripes (western spadefoot toad)
Lineage: Eukaryota; Metazoa; Chordata; Amphibia; Anura; Pelobatidae
Source: RNAcentral
GUUUAACAUAGCUUUAUUUUAUUUAUUUUUAACCUUUUUGUUUCUACGCUAUAGGAAGAUUAAAUCCAGGGAAGUGAAACGUGGGCAAUAUCCCACUGCAUUUAACUAACACCUCUUUGUUCGUGCUUUAAUGAAUUUCUUUUGAUUUUGAACAUUAUUACAGAAAGAAGAGAGCCCUGACGUGGAACAUCCUAAAAAAGUAUGAAUCCAUACAGUGUGUUUAAGUAUACUUUUCAAACAUUUCUGUCCUCUGUAUGAAGACUGACUUCUAGGCUUCCUUUCUCUUCAGUUUUCCAUUAAAAUUUUCACUAAUCAUGAGUUCUUCACCCUUUUCAUUAACGUAAUAUUUUUUAUAUUGACUCUACUAAUACAUAGCUGAGAUGUACUCCUGCUGGCAUUGUUUGUCUUGCAUGUAUUCUUUGCGUCAGAAGACUUCCAUUUAUCAAUACUUAAUUAGUUUUAGUUAUUUUUUGUUUUUGUCUUCAGAAUAUCAUGUUUCUUCAUUCAACUGUCUCGGGAUCUAGUGUUAGGACAUCUUCUUUUUGUUCAAAAGAUCAACUGAGUGUGUUCAUUUUGCUCAUGGCAUUGUUAUAGUACUCUGUCCUUUACUUCAAACAGCCUCUACUGUAUAGUAUCAGUUUCUGCUUUGUAUAAGUGCCAGUGUGUUUUAUAUUUUGUAACUCAAUUCUAGAAUUCAGUGAACGAUUGUUCUUUUUUUUUUUUUUUUCAUGAUUUAAAACUGAAGAUAAAAAACAAUAUGAUACCAAACAAUGUUUUGAAAUUAUCAGUAUAAAUUGUAUAUCCUUAUUUACGCUGUAGAUUUCUAGGGCUCUAAAACUGACAAAUUUGAUUCAUUUGCACAAUGAAGGGAAUUACUCAUUACCUGUCACUAAAUGUGGAAAAAUUGCAAUCUAACUUCUAAAGUGCAUAUAUUUGACUCCUAUGUUAUCAAACUGCCACACCUUCCACAUUUUCUAAAUAAUCUUAAUGUGACAUUACUUUUUAGUGCUUUUGUGGUUUACAAACAUACUGGUUUAAAAACUAGAAAUAUUAUUAAAUCCAUCCUGUUUUAAUAUAACAAUUUAUUUUAUGUCUUGUGGUCUUGUAUAGCGCACUUUAAAAACAUUUUUUGCUUUAAAUUAGUAGUGAGGUCCUGUGCCAUCAUAAACAUUUCACAAUCAAAUAUCAUACAUUUUAAGUUUGAUCUUAUGUUAAGACAGGAUGGAACACCACUGGUUCAUCAGGGUAUAAAAAAAGAAUAAAUUGUCAUGCUGAAUGCUAUGCUGGAGUAUUUUGGAUGGAAACAUUAUAGCUCAGCUUUCUUGUUAAAAGUAGACUAUGAAGUGGAAAUUGGCAUGUUCUCAACAUUUUGUUGAGAUUAAAUAAAUACUUCCCAUUGACAGCUGUUAAAGUUACACCUUGUGCAACAAUACAUUCAUUAUGUUUUUGCGUAACCCUUUUCUCCUUCAGAACUUCGUAUUAUUUACUACUAUCAAAAGCCUAAUAAAUAUUUUUUGCAUCAUUACAUUGUUAUACUACACAUAACGUAACAGCAUAUAAUUAAUCAGUCAUUUAUAAUUACUCAAAUAAUUAAGUGCAUGGGGUGUCAGAAUGAUGGCCAUCAGAUGCCAAUGUACUACACUUCCCUUAUUUAUCUGACAUUCUAUAAUCCGUUAUUAAGAAACCUGUGAAGUGUAGAUCAGAACCCCUGAUGUAUGGUCUGCAUGGUUAAUUAUAUGGUCAACGGAGAAAUUAAUGCAUUUAUAACAUGCUUUUACUGCUAAUCCCAGAGAUCAUGACAAAUCAAUUAACAGUUAUAGCCUCUGGUUACUCUGCUUAAUUACCAAAAAAAAAAAGUUGUUUAUGCUGCUAACAAAUAUCUCUAUAGAGAGGAAAUUUAAUAUUUCUGCUAACUUGGAACUCAGGAUGUGAGAGGCUUCACCAAUCAUUAGACACUAUUAGGGUGGAUUACGUGAUGAUACAAAUUAAUCUCCGGAUAAAUCAAUAUCUUUCUUAUUGUGACAGUCCUGAUAUAAGUGUUCCUGAAGGUGUGUGUGCUAGGACAGGUGACAAGAAAUGGUUCAUCUGGUAAUAAUGUUUAAAGUAUUAUAUGGCAAGUGACAAAAAUAGGCCAUUGUUCAUUAGCUUCAUAAUCACGCUUAGUUUUAGAAGAAAUAAAUAUUUAUGUUGGAGUGUAGAGGGGAUACGGUAUAGGAAAAGAGCUUCUCAGGGACUUCCGCUGGUCAAUUGGUACACCUUGUUAACUCGUUACAAGAUUGGCAGCUGGUCCAGUCCUACUUAAGUGUAAUUACAAUGUGUCUUUUCUAGUUCUCACAUAUGCAGCUCUGAUUUUUUCUUUCUUUUUUUUUUUUCUUCUUUUAUAUUGUAAUUCCUACAUUUGUUUUUGCAGGCCUUCAACUCAGAAACAGACAGUUUCAAGCUCUCUUACGGAGGACACCAAUAUCAUGCGAGCUGUGCAAAUUUCUGGAUCAACUGUGUAGAGCCUAAGCCACCCGGCCUUUUCCUUCCAGAUCUAUUAUAGUAACUUUGUCUAAUCACAAAUGACCGAGGAAAAGUCUUACUGCAAGAUUGUGGGACUGCCCUAAAAAUACCCUGACCGCUGCCAAUUGCAGAUCUGUGUAAAACCUAUGCUGCUGAAUGUCUCUGGUAUUGUGAACAUUGCAUAAAGUGCAAUUCAUUUAUGAAAUUACAUUAAAUUAUUUAUAAAUAGUUGUGAAAUAUAAGUAUACUUUAGACCAUUUCCAUUGUAACCUCCCCAUAUUUUGAUUGUGGUUUCUUGGUCAGUAAGGCAAAAUAUUUAUAAUUUUCUAAGAGAGCUCCUGCCUUUACUAACUUUUUUAACUCCAGGUACAAAGCUUAUGUAUGCUGGUUUCAUAAGGCUUGACAUAUUUUAAAAACAAUAUAGGUGAUAGUAAACUGUGCCUAGUCACACUAUUGAGUUGACUAGAAGAGAAAAUGCAGGGUUUAAAAACAAAACAAAACUAAAUAUCAGCGUUGGAUUUCUGUUUGCUUUAAAUGUGUAGAUAAUGUUUUACUUUCAACCUGUGUGUGUCUCUCUAAUUUUCAUGCAAUUUUAUGAAAUUCUUUUAUGUGCUACAUUUUGAUUAUAGCUAUAGAACAUUGUGUUGGAGAGCUGUUACCAAUUCUAGUAUGUCUGAUAUUAAAAUAACUUUUUUAAGCAGUUAAUGAAUAAUUAACUGGUCAAUAAAUCAUAUAAAUAGUAGAAAUUAAGAUUAUCUAAUUUUCUUUCUGGUUUUAUCGUCACCUCAUCCUAGGAUGUCACAUUCAAGUAUUCAACAAAGUAUUUUACUAAAAAUAAGGCAUUAAAUGUCCAUGUAUAAAGUACCAUUAGCCAAACAUAUACAUUUUGACCGUUUAUUGGGCAUUUUUUAUUUAGCGAUAUAGUUCUUUCAUUCUUCAGCAUUCAAAGGAUAGCAUUUGUGUAAAUCUUCUAGAGUCCAUUUUAGAAGGCAAAGCUGUUUUGUAUUUAACAUAAUGUCUGUUGAUUAUGAUCAUGAUCCCAAAAUUGUGAUGGUAACUGUACACCCUGAAUUGCUGCUUUCUUAGGUGCAGAGGGGUGACUUACCGUUCCAGCAACAGGCUGGUUAAAAGGACUGUCCUUUGUUGAGCUGCAAUGACACUAUUGUGCUUCAAGCUAAAUGAUGGUAUCCUUGGAAACUGUAUCCACGGUGACUUGUUCUUUCCACAGACAUUACCAGUGAAGAUACUUCAUUCAGUGUCCAUAUUAACAAAUGUUUGUUUAGUUUCGUUAUGGUUUCUUUUCAUAAUCAAAAAAUGGUUAUUAGCAUGGCCUCCAGUUUUAAAUGUUCUUGUCAUAAAGCUGCCCCUUUAUAGUAAAAUGAGAAAAAUAAUAAAAAAAAAAAAUCUUACUCCUAAUAUUUUUAUUUUUUUUUAAAGUGGUAUUCAGGUGUAGUUUCACAUACUGUAUUCAAAACCAAGAAUACAAAUUGUAAAUAUUUUGAUACAAGCAGUGUGUGCAGUGACAUUAAUUUGUCUCCUCAGUCACAACUUCUAAAUACAAUUUAAUGCAAGUUACAUUUAACCCAAUAAAUUCAACAUCCUAAACCCCCUUAAAUAACAGUUAAUGAUGUGGGCUGGUAAAGCAAGCUUCUGUUCCAAAAUAAGAUGAACCACUCCAUUAAGGCGUCAUGGUGCUACCAGAAUUAAAUAAGCAAGACAUCCCAUCUUGGCAUAAGAAUUCGGAAACAGAUUGUGAUGAUGGCAAACUGUGGUAUUUGGUCCUUAAAAGGGAUCUGUCUCUUUACACCACUGAAUAAAACUUCGUCAAUCACCUAUAACCUGUGAGAACUUUUUUUUUUUUCAUGAGCUGCUCUGAUUGAUUUUAAGUUUAUUUUAAAAAUAUUAAAUAUCCUGGGAAGUGACGGUCCCCCUUUUAAGAGUUUGUUUCUUGUCCUUUAUGAUAUACGUUUUUUAAUGUUUCUGUACCUGCAUUCAAGACAGUCAAGCCCAUUCCUCUGUUUGUUUUUCUUCCUAAUGAGACGUAUGUAGUGCGUCUUUAAAUUUCCCAGUUGUAAUAUCCAGAGGCUAUACUGAUCUAAAUGAUGUGUUUAAACCUGAUUCCUAAAAAAAAUAUUCAAUCUUGUUCAAAUAUGGCCUUACUUCUAAUGUAAAGUUGAUGGGUAAAAUAUUGUCAAACUAGCACAUUAAUGUUAGGUACGUUUAAUGGCUUGUACAUACUAGUACUAGUAAAUACAUUAACAUGGCUACCCAUGUUCAACAGUUAGUGGCAUUUCUUAAGGAUUGUUACUAGUCUGGAAGUAGUUUUCUGUCACAAGACAAUGGUAAUAGUGGUAAUAUUUGCUAGAUUCCCUGCAGUAUCUUUAAGUUGAGCUAUUAGUUUGUUUUAUUGUGUUCAACCAUUUAAAAAAAAAUAAAAAAUAUGAGCCAAUGUUACUUACAUAGAUAGAGAAGUGUUUUAAUGUAUUGAGCAGUGGGUUCUUAUUCUCACUUUAAAGGGUUACUCCAAGCAUCAUAAGCACUACCAACAUAAGUACCCUAGUCUGUUUACUCAGAAAUAUGGCAAACCAAUUAGGAAUGGCUUGCUCUCUUACGUGGGCCUCAGCCAGGCAACAAGAUUAUUUUGUGGCUCCGGUGACUUGCUUUUGGCUUUAACAAAGUUGCAGAAGCCUUAAACUGAUCCAGUCGUCAUUCAUUGGCUGAAAUGUCAGCUGACCACUCUCAGCCAAUGAAUGGCACACUGUGCAUGAAAAUGUUCACAGAAUUUACAUUGGCCAGCCCUGAACUCUUGCUCAAUUUCCAUUAGCCAGCCUUCUUUUUAAAUUGUGUUUCUCAUCCAGUAAAACACGUUUAUAGAACUGUGAUCUGCAAGCUAAACUGUUAGCACUUCCUAAAUGCCACAUUCCACAAAGGUUUGUGUGUGUAUACACACCAACAGCCUUCCAGCUGAAGUGGUAGAGGUUAACACAGUGAAGGAGUUUAAGCAUGCGUGGGAUAGUCAUAAGGCUACAAGAUAAGGCCAGAGACUAAUGAAAGUAUUUAGAAAAUUGGGCAGACUAUAUGGGCCAAAUAGUUCUUAUCUGCUAUAACAUUCUGUGUUUCUAUAACACUCACAAUAUGUGUUUUAAAAAAGUUGUUUCCCUGAACCUGGCCUUUUCUUCACUUUUCAAUGUUUGAUUCAUUAUCAACAGUCUUUUAUAGAUGUCUGUUCAUUCCCAUCCUUUAACAUACUCCAGGACUAGUGCCAUGGUAUAAGGUAUAUACUCUUUAAGGCAAAAGAAAUGAAUGUAUCACUAAUCCAGGAUUGAUCUGUAGAUUAUUACAUUUUAAAGUUACUUAUUUAAGUAUAUGUUAUUUCUGUUUCAUUUAUCUGUUUGAAACACUGUCCAAUGCUGGAGGAUUAACGUACCAUGGACCAAUUCUUCUUCUCUAAAUUGUAUACAAUUCAUGUACAAGUGCAGUAUCAUUUUUGGUUGAUUUUGUUUUAAAAUUGUUUCUUUAUUUAGCUAUCUAUUGAAUUUUCAUUGUGUAUGGUGAUUAUUUAUAUCUUUGCUGCCUGCUGUGAAAUUUUAUCUUCAAUUGUUGUUUGAAGGUUUAUGGACUGCAUUUUGUUUGAUGUUUUAAUAAAGAUCAGACUUCUUAACUGGCAAUCAUUUAUUAACCCUUCAAGGUCCUUUAGGAUGUCAAAUGCUAUACCGGAAAAAGUGGGUCUUUGUGUCCUUUGGACGGUAUAGACUAUCCUGUAGUAUCCUGUAGCCAGGAGAGGUAAAUCCCUGGUCCUAGCAGAGGGAUUCAGGUAUCCAGAUUUAGUGGCCCCAAGCUGACGAAUGGCAAGUAAUGAAUUCUCACUGUAAGCACUGUCACAUCCAUUUGGAAUAAAGUCUCUGAAGUUCUGUUUGGCCUCACCACUGCAACGUUAUCAAUAAAAUGUCUUGGUACCAUUGAUAUCAGGGAAAGACUGAUGAGGGCUACCGGUAACCCCUCUGAUUAUAUUAUUUGUGUGAUCAGUCACAUAGAGAGGGGCUGUAACUUUGUGACAAGUUCUG